Molecule: ribosomal RNA, 1177 nt
Filed under: Staphylococcus aureus
Lineage: Bacteria; Bacillati; Bacillota; Bacilli; Caryophanales; Staphylococcaceae
Description: partial 23S ribosomal RNA
Rfam family: Bacterial large subunit ribosomal RNA
Source: RNAcentral
GAACCUGGAGAUAGCUGGUUCUCUCCGAAAUAGCUUUAGGGCUAGCCUCAAGUGAUGAUUAUUGGAGGUAGAGCACUGUUUGGACGAGGGGCCCCUCUCGGGUUACCGAAUUCAGACAAACUCCGAAUGCCAAUUAAUUUAACUUGGGAGUCAGAACAUGGGUGAUAAGGUCCGUGUUCGAAAGGGAAACAGCCCAGACCACCAGCUAAGGUCCCAAAAUAUAUGUUAAGUGGAAAAGGAUGUGGCGUUGCCCAGACAACUAGGAUGUUGGCUUAGAAGCAGCCAUCAUUUAAAGAGUGCGUAAUAGCUCACUAGUCGAGUGACACUGCGCCGAAAAUGUACCGGGGCUAAACAUAUUACCGAAGCUGUGGAUUGUCCUUUGGACAAUGGUAGGAGAGCGUUCUAAGGGCGUUGAAGCAUGAUCGUAAGGACAUGUGGAGCGCUUAGAAGUGAGAAUGCCGGUGUGAGUAGCGAAAGACGGGUGAGAAUCCCGUCCACCGAUUGACUAAGGUUUCCAGAGGAAGGCUCGUCCGCUCUGGGUUAGUCGGGUCCUAAGCUGAGGCCGACAGGCGUAGGCGAUGGAUAACAGGUUGAUAUUCCUGUACCACCUAUAAUCGUUUUAAUCGAUGGGGGGACGCAGUAGGAUAGGCGAAGCGUGCGAUUGGAUUGCACGUCUAAGCAGUAAGGCUGAGUAUUAGGCAAAUCCGGUACUCGUUAAGGCUGAGCUGUGAUGGGGAGAAGACAUUGUGUCUUCGAGUCGUUGAUUUCACACUGCCGAGAAAAGCCUCUAGAUAGAAAAUAGGUGCCCGUACCGCAAACCGACACAGGUAGUCAAGAUGAGAAUUCUAAGGUGAGCGAGCGAACUCUCGUUAAGGAACUCGGCAAAAUGACCCCGUAACUUCGGGAGAAGGGGUGCUCUUUAGGGUUAACGCCCAGAAGAGCCGCAGUGAAUAGGCCCAAGCGACUGUUUAUCAAAAACACAGGUCUCUGCUAAACCGUAAGGUGAUGUAUAGGGGCUGACGCCUGCCCGGUGCUGGAAGGUUAAGAGGAGUGGUUAGCUUCUGCGAAGCUACGAAUCGAAGCCCCAGUAAACGGCGGCCGUAACUAUAACGGUCCUAAGGUAGCGAAAUUCCUUGUCGGGUAAGUUCCGACCCGCACGAAAGGCGUAACGAUUUGG